Molecule: ribosomal RNA, 468 nt
Filed under: uncultured bacterium
Lineage: Bacteria
Description: partial 16S ribosomal RNA
Rfam family: Bacterial small subunit ribosomal RNA
Source: RNAcentral
GACGAACGCUGGCGGCGUGCUUAACACAUGCAAGUCGAACGGAAAGGCCCUGCUUUUGUGGGGUGCUCGAGUGGCGAACGGGUGAGUAACACGUGAGUAACCUGCCCUUGACUUUGGGAUAACUUCAGGAAACUGGGGCUAAUACCGGAUAGGAUCUCCUGCUGCAUGGGGGGGGUUGGAAAGUUUCGGCGGUUGGGGAUGGACUCGCGGCUUAUCAGCUUGUUGGUGGGGUAGUGGCUUACCAAGGCUUUGACGGGUAGCCGGCCUGAGAGGGUGACCGGGCACAUUGGGACUGAGAUACGGCCCAGAAUCGUACGGGAGGCAGCAGUGGGGAAUUUUGCACAGUGGGCGGAAGCCUGAUGCAGCAACGCCGCGUGCGGGAUGACGGCUUUCGAGUUGUAAACCGCUUUCGAAUGUGACGAAGAGUGAGUGACGGUAAUGGGUAAAGAAGCACCGGCUAACUACGUG